Molecule: long non-coding RNA, 558 nt
Organism: Phyllostomus hastatus (greater spear-nosed bat)
Lineage: Eukaryota; Metazoa; Chordata; Mammalia; Chiroptera; Phyllostomidae
Exons: 3
Source: RefSeq, a predicted model, not a curated record
GCUCUGUGCACCCUGGGGGCCGCUGAACCAACGAUGUGACCUCGGGCGAGUCACUUCACCUCCCCGCGCCUGUUUUUCCAUCUGCAAACCGGGGCUAAUUACAGUGCUUGCCUUCUAGGGCUGUUGGGAGGAUUAAACAAGUUCAUGACGAGACAAGAAAGAACCGUCUGGGAAGCUGCGCCCGCUGCAGGAGAGCAGGGACGUGCCUGCCUGGAGAGCUGCGGGAGGAACCAUCAGCAGCGAAGGUCCGCAGGUCCUGCCUGGCCCCGCCUCCAGCAGCGCCCCUCAGUGAACACAGUGUCGGUCCGCAGACGCAGCUUCCCGGAGAAGUCCUGGCAUCUUGUCACCUCCCCUCAGUGACCCCAUGGCAGGUCCCGAUUGCCUGAGUGCAGCCAACAAGUUAGAGGGACAUUCAAGAUGCCUGGGAACCCGGCCCCACCUGAGUGCUCCCGCCUUUCCCAAGCCAGUGCCAGCCGGGUUCCGCAGGCCUCCGGAAGCCUUCCUGUCCCCCACUGAUCUGAGCUACCCCCACUGUCAUCUGCCGCCCCUCCUAUCAUC